This 85-nucleotide transfer RNA is filed under the name Felis catus (domestic cat). It matches the Rfam family "tRNA". From Rfam's summary of the family: Transfer RNA (tRNA) molecules are approximately 80 nucleotides in length. Their secondary structure includes four short double-helical elements and three loops (D, anti-codon, and T loops). Further hydrogen bonds mediate the characteristic L-shaped molecular structure. tRNAs have two regions of fundamental functional importance: the anti-codon, which is responsible for specific mRNA codon recognition, and the 3' end, to which the tRNAs corresponding amino acid is attached (by aminoacyl-tRNA synthetases). tRNAs cope with the degeneracy of the genetic code in two manners: having more than one tRNA (with a specific anti-codon) for a particular amino acid; and 'wobble' base-pairing, i.e. permitting non-standard base-pairing at the 3rd anti-codon position. The record is from Rfam by way of RNAcentral. Lineage: Eukaryota; Metazoa; Chordata; Mammalia; Carnivora; Felidae.
GCCUGGGUGGCUCAGUAGGUUGAGCAUCUGACUUCAGCUCAGGUCAGGAUCUUGCAGUUUGUGAGUUCAAGCCCUGCGUCGGGCU